CUAAUUAUGUAAAUUGCCAGUGUUGCAAAUUACCCUCACAGUUUGCGUUCAUUCUACACACAAUCCACAUGGUCCCUGCACAUCUCACACACUUCGCACGGAAUCCAUCCACUUUCAGAUACUGUUACUUCCUUUGAGAGAAAGAGAGAGAGAGAGAGAGAGAGAGAGAGAGAGAGAGAGGGAAAGAGAGAGAAAGAGUAAGGAGAAGAUAUAAGAGUGCGAGGAGGACGUAACGACACCUCUGCCCUACGGAACGCUCUGCCUUCUUUCCUCCUACCUCCUUCUUGCUCCUUCAUUCAUCAUAACCAGUACUCAACGAGUAUAUUGUUGGUUACGAGUGUCCACGAAGAUAGUCGAUGUGUUCAACGUCACGAAAACCAGUCUAUCGAUGCUGCAAAUUGCUCCUACGAAAGACCCUUGUUGAUAAUAUCAGUGCUUAGACCUUUUAAAAGUCAUUUUGAAGGAACCGUAGACAUCUUACGUUUUGGUUCAGUCCAGGAUUAUAUUUCAUAUAUUUAGACGCUUGUAGCACGGUCAAGCGUGUUCGCCGUCCGACUUCGUAAUUUUUCUUACGUCGAGAUUGCGCCGAGUAAUGUUUUCUCUCCUCUUACUAUUCUCUUUUUUUUAUUUUCUUCUUCGAACGUCAAGAGGCGAAUGACGAAUAAUCGAGGUGAAUAGCUUCCAGGACGCACAAAGAAUAUUAAAUUAAGAGCCGCCUCUAAAGACUGGUCACGACGAAGAGAGUCGAAUUGCGCGCGCAUUGAAGAGAAAGAGAGAGAGAGAGAGAAAGAAGGAGAGAGAUCAAUUUAUAAUAAGAAUCUCGUUCGAGGAUAAUCACAAUUUUACUGACGUUUAACGUAUGUAUCUACAUUACGAACACUGUAGAUAACGAUGGAAACGAAUCAAUUGUUUAUAAUAAUCGAAUAAUACAAUUAUGAAAUAAAUAUA
Molecule: long non-coding RNA, 948 nt
Organism: Vespa mandarinia (Asian giant hornet)
Lineage: Eukaryota; Metazoa; Arthropoda; Insecta; Hymenoptera; Vespidae
Source: RefSeq, a predicted model, not a curated record